AGAGUUUGAUCCUGGCUCAGGAUGAACGCUAGCGACAGGCUUAACACAUGCAAGUCGUACGAGAAAGGGGCUUCGGCCCUGAGUAGAGUGGCGCACGGGUGAGUAACGCGUGGGUAAUCUACCCUUGGAUUUGGGAUAACUCUGCGAAAGUGGAGCUAAUACCGGAUAGUCUGGCUUUUAAUAGAAGUCGGUAAAGGAUGCCUCUGCAUAUGCAUUCGUCCGAGGAUGAGCCCGCGUCUCAUUAGCUAGUUGGUAGGGUAAUGGCCUACCAAGGCAACGAUGAGUAGCUGGUCUGAGAGGAUGAUCAGCCACACUGGAACUGAAACACGGUCCAGACUCCUACGGGAGGCAGCAGUGGGGAAUAUUGGACAAUGGGGGGAACCCUGAUCCAGCCAUGCCGCGUGUGUGAAGAAGGCCUUUUGGUUGUAAAGCACUUUAAGCGAGGAGGAGGCUACUCUGGUUAAUACCCAGGGAUAGUGGACGUUACUCGCAGAAUAAGCACCGGCUAACUCUGUGCCAGCAGCCGCGGUAAUA
This 534-nucleotide ribosomal RNA is filed under the name uncultured bacterium. RNAcentral's name for it is "bacterial SSU rRNA". It matches the Rfam family "Bacterial small subunit ribosomal RNA", at positions 8 to 525 of the family's 1533-position model. The record is from RNAcentral.